This 87-nucleotide transfer RNA is filed under the name Bacillota bacterium. RNAcentral's name for it is "tRNA-Leu". It matches the Rfam family "tRNA". From Rfam's summary of the family: Transfer RNA (tRNA) molecules are approximately 80 nucleotides in length. Their secondary structure includes four short double-helical elements and three loops (D, anti-codon, and T loops). The record is from RNAcentral. Lineage: Bacteria; Bacillati; Bacillota.
GGGCUCGUGGUGAAAUUGGUAUACACGUUAGAUUCAGGGUCUAAUGGGGUCAAACCCGUGAGAGUUCAAGUCUCUCCGAGCCCACCA